Globicephala melas (long-finned pilot whale) is the source of this 3017-nucleotide long non-coding RNA. RefSeq lists it as uncharacterized. NCBI's taxonomy places the organism in Eukaryota, Metazoa, Chordata, Mammalia, Artiodactyla, Delphinidae. The record is from RefSeq and is a predicted model, not a curated record.
ACAGCUCUCUAUCCCCAACCUUUCUCACCCUCUGGAAUUGAGGGCUUUUACUGCUUCCCCCAUUAUUUUUUUAAUUAAGUAAUGAAUAGUAUUUUAUUAUUAUUAUUAUUUUUGGCUGCAUGGCAUGGCAUACAUGAUCUUUUCUCCCUGACCAGGGAUUGAACCUGUGCUCCCUGAAGUAGAAGCAUGGAGUCUUCACUACUGGACCCCCAAACUUGCAGGAGAUAAAGUGGAGUGCGAGAAGAUGGUCACGUCCCAGGUCUCAGGCGAGUCCCUGGGACGGCUGCCAAGUGUGGAUUCUUGGCUUCGCACAGGAAAGAGUUCAAGAGAGAGCUAUAGUAAAGUGAAAGAAGGUUUAUUCAGGGAGAUACAUACUCCACAGACAGAGUGUGGGCCAUCUCUGAAGUUCUAGGUACAUAACGAUGAACUAUUCAACACCAAAAUCUUUGCAGCAUAGACAUUCUGAUUCCUGCUUCAGCUCUGCUCUGCAGUGGAGUUACCAUUACUAUUUUAUCUCUGGAGAUUAAGUGCCUCUAUUUGCCAUCUGCCACCCUGGAAUUCCAUUAUCCCCAUUGAUUUCUGGGACCCCAGAUCCAUGACAGUAGUUUCUGCUUAUAUUUCUGAACAAUAGAAAGUAGUCACAGGGACUUCCCUGGUGGUCCAGUGGUUAAGAAUGCAGGGGACGCGAGUUCCAUCCCUGGUUGGAGAACUAAGAUCCCACAUGCCACAGGGCAACUGAGCCGGUGUGUCGCGACUACUGAGCACCACAACUAUAUAGCCCACGUGCUGCAAACUACAGAGCCUGUGCACUGUGGAGCCCAUGAGCCACAACUAGAGAGAAGCCUGCACAUCGCAUCUACUGAGCCUGUGUGCUCUGGAGCCUGUGCACCACAACUAGAGAGAAGCCUGCUCGUCGUAAUGAAGAGCCCAUGCACCACAAUGAAAGAUCCCUCAGGGCGCAGCGAAGGUCCCACCUGCCCCAACCCGAUGUAGCUAAAUAAAUAAAUAAAUAUUUAAAAAGAAAAACAUAUGUAAUCACAAAGGAGCUCAUUAAGGACACUGUGGACUCCCCAUGAAUAUAUUUCUUCCAGACUUAAUGAAGGGAGUGUAUUCUGAUCCACCUGAGGGGUGUAUUAGGAGAUAAAUAAACAAAUAGGACAUCAUAAAUACAUUCUACCGUUCCGAUCUCACUAAGACUUUGGUUGUAUCCCUCAGUAAUAUGACAGGGAAUUUCUAGCAUUUAAUUUAAUUAAAUGUAAGCACUUUUUGGUCCCAGAUUUUAGUCAUUUGCAAAGGAAAAUGUUAAAGCUACUCCUAGCUUCUUGAUUUAACAUAUUGAAUCCAGAACCUUGGCUAAGUGAGACCUUAUUGCUCUCCUCAGCCUGAGCCAAAUUUGUAUUUCUUCUACCUUAAUCUAAAAACCUUAGGAUUAAUUCUCACUUGUUUACCUAGGUUUUGGUAAAUGUAGAAUGUUAAAAUCAUAUGUGAAAAAUUUUUGGUAUAUGUAAUACUUUCCAUGUCACACUUUGUACAUUACCUUCUGGCCCUGUUGGAACUUGACUCUGGUUAUAGAUGUAGGAGCAUUAAGAAUUGUUGGAGAUAGGAUAUGGAGAGGAUUAGCAGUCUCUUCUUGCAAGAGAACUGUCUCAGUGGGGAGGAAAUUAUAGUUUCUUCAAACAAGAGGAAACUAACGUCUUUAAAACAAGAGGUUGAAGAGAUAAUUCUAAAAGAAAGGCAGUUUAGCAGAGUUUAAAAGUUCAACUUUCCAAUCUUAUUUGGAAUUUUUCCAUAUGCCUCUAUCCUAAUAUUUAGGACCCCAAUCCUUCCCAAUCAAUACCGUAAAUUUAUCAUAAAAAGCCUUGCAAGCUUGAGAAUUCAAUUCUGUAAUCUUAUAAUUUAGGUAUGAUUUUUUUAUAGAUCUUUAUUGGAGUAUAAUUGCUUCACAAUACUGUGUUAGUUUCUGUUGUACAACAAAGUGAAUCAGCCAUAUACAUACAUAUAUCCCCAUAUCUCCUCCCUCUUGAGCCUCCCUCCCACCCUGUCUCUUCCACCACUCUAGGUCGUCACAAAGUACAGACCUGAUCUCCCUGUGCUAUGCUGCUGCUUCCCACUAGCUAAAUAUUUACCAUUUGGUAGUGUAUAUAUAUCAAUGCUACUCUUACUUCACCCCAGCUUGCCCCUCCAUCCCGUGUCUUCAACUCCAUUCCCUAUAUCUAUAUCUUUAUUCCUGCCCUGCCACUAUGUUCAUCAGUACCACAUUCAUAUGGGAAUACAAAAGACCCUGAAUAGCCAAAAUAAUACUGCAAAGAAAAGUGGAGCUGGAGGAAUCAGGCUCCCCAACUUCAAACUAUACUACAAAGCUACAGUAAUCAAGACAAUAUGGUACUGGCACAAAAACAGAAAUAUAGAUCAAUGGAACAAGAUAGAAAGACCAGGGAUAGACCCACACACAUAUGGUUGCCUAAUUUAUGACAAAGGAGGCAAGAACAUACAAUGGAGAAAAGACAGCCUCUUCAAUAGUGGUGCUGGGAAAACUGGACAGCUACAUGUAAAAGAAUAAAAUGAGAACACUACCUAACACCAUACACAAAAAUACACUCCAAAUGGAUUAAAGACCUAAAUGUAAGACCAGACACUGUAAAACUCAUAGAGGAAAACAUAGGAAAAACACUCUUUGACACAGGUAUGAUUUUUAUAAAUAUGAGCAAUAUGUCUAUAGAAGAUGAGGUUUUAUUUUAUGGUAGUCAGCUCCCUUAUAAGAGAUUUGGGCAGGAAAAUUAGUGUUGUGAACUCAUCAUUUUUUUGCUCCAAAUUUCACAGCCCAUUUAGAAGCCAUAAAAGCAAAGAAACAGAAACAAACAAAAAACCUUCCUAAUGUGAAGUUAAUGUGUCUGCUACAUAGUUCUCCCUUCCAAAUUUCUUGCAAAGUACUUCAUUUGGUCAUGCUAACCUAUAAUUAUGUAGGAAAGAGAAUUCUGUAAAAAGACAGCAUCAGUCUAGCUGUGUUGGCCCAGUAG